This 501-nucleotide ribosomal RNA is filed under the name uncultured Glomeromycotina. RNAcentral describes it as "partial small subunit ribosomal RNA". It matches the Rfam family "Eukaryotic small subunit ribosomal RNA", at positions 591 to 1092 of the family's 1831-position model. Lineage: Eukaryota; Fungi; Glomeromycota. The record is from RNAcentral.
CCAAUAGCGUAUAUUAAAGUUGUUGCAGUUAAAAAGCUCGUAGUUGAACCUUAGGCCCGUGCGGGUGGUCCGUCCUCAGGGCGAGCACUGCCUCGUCGCGGGUCUCACCUUCUGGCGAGCGUCGAUGCCAUUCACUUGGUGUCGGCGGGAACCAGGACCUUUACCUUGAAAAAAUUAGAGUGCUCAAAGCGGGCUCGCACGCUUGAAUACAUUAGCAUGGAAUAAUGAAAUAGGACGACGGUUCUAUUUUGUUGGUUUCCGGGACAGUCGUAAUGAUUAAUAGGGAUAGUUGGGGGCAUUCGUAUUCAAUUGUCAGAGGUGAAAUUCUUGGAUUUAUUGAGGACGAACUACUGCGAAAGCAUUUGCCAAGGAUGUUUUCAUUAAUCAAGAACGAAAGUUGGGGGAUCGAAGACGAUCAGAUACCGUCGUAGUCUCAACCAUAAACUAUGCCGACUGGGAAUCGGGCGAUGUUAUUUUUCGUGACUCGCUCGGCGCCCCGAG